AUGAACGCUGGCGGCGUGCCUAAUACAUGCAAGUCGAGCGAACGGACGAGAAGCUUGCUUCUCUGAUGUUAGCGGCGGACGGGUGAGUAACACGUGGAUAACCUACCUAUAAGACUGGGAUAACUUCGGGAAACCGGAGCUAAUACCGGAUAAUAUUUUGAACCGCAUGGUUCAAAAGUGAAAGACGGUCUUGCUGUCACGUAUAGAUGGAUCCGCGCUGCUUUAGCUAGUUGGUAAGGUAACGGCUUACCAAGGCAACGAUGCAUAGCCGACCUGAGAGGGUGAUCGGCCAGCCUGGGACUGAGACACGGUCCAGACUCCUACGGGAGCCAGCAGUAGGGAAUCUUCCGCAAUGGGCGAAAGCCUGACGGAGCAACGCCGCGUGAGUGAUGAAGGUCUUCGGAUCGUAAAACUCUGUUAUUAGGGAAGAACAUAUGUGUAAGUAACUGUGCACAUCUUGACGGUACCUAAUCAGAAAGCCACGGCUAACUACGUG
Molecule: ribosomal RNA, 496 nt
Filed under: uncultured bacterium
Lineage: Bacteria
Description: partial 16S ribosomal RNA
Rfam family: Bacterial small subunit ribosomal RNA
Source: RNAcentral